Molecule: RNA transcript, 6435 nt
Organism: Tribolium castaneum (red flour beetle)
Lineage: Eukaryota; Metazoa; Arthropoda; Insecta; Coleoptera; Tenebrionidae
Exons: 5
Source: RefSeq, a predicted model, not a curated record
UUUUUUAAUUUUUUAAUAAUAUUGACAAAACAGCAAAGGUAAAUUAACUUCUUCGUCCUCUGCGUUAUUCUUCUAUUUCAGUUUUUGUUUUGUUAUUAAAUUUUAAGAAAAAAAAUUUUUUUUCUUGCCAGGACCGGGAUUCGAAUCUUAUACAAAUAAGCAUGUUAGCCGCAAUUUUGAAAGAUUCUUAAAACGCCCAUGCGCCACCAUCUCCAUUUUAUUUAAUGAAAAAAUUAACUACAAAUAACUACCAUAAGCUACACAGUGGCUCUCAACAUGUGGGUUAAUAAAAAUUUCUGAAGAAAGUACGCACUUUUUGGAUAAAUGAUGUAAGGAUUUUUAACUCGUCUGAUUAUGACAAAUGCACAUGCGAAAUAUUGCUAAGCAUUCCCUAACACCCCGUAUAAUUUUACGUUUCAACACUUUUAAUAGUUUUAAUAUGUAUAAAUGUGUUACAGCACAUUCUUCAUAAUCUUCGAAAAAAGUGUUUUCAUUUGACCGAGAACCGAGAUAUCGACAAACAAAUCACCAUUAGUUUAAGACUGAUAAUUUAGAUGUUAUUGUUUAACAUAUAAAAAUAACUAAUGGUAGGUAUUUUUCUUAGUUCGUUUCGUAAUAAGUAGUAAUAACAUUUUGCCAGAUGAUAAACACUACCAUUUUACUGGAUAGCAAAACAAAAGAAAAUUUUGUAAAAUGUGUAAUUUACAUGAUAGGUACAGUCAAUUUGGUUGUUUUAUCGUCAUCACAUUCCGGCAAGAUUCUAAGGUUUUUUUUUCUCACAAAUAUGUAUAGUAAACUUUUUGGUGAAAGGGGCGGUAAAUUUGAUAUAUUUUAUAAAAUAUGUUACUUAUCUGUCACAUCAAUUAAAUGCAGAGUUUUCCAUGUCAGUCGUCUAUUUCGUGGCCACAGGACUGUUUCAAAUAAAACUUAUAAGACUCAUGGUCUAUCUGUUACUGAUUGCAAAUACACUGGGAUUUUUAGCAAUACUAUAUCAAUUUAUUUUGGAUGCAGAAUUGGUGUACAUAAUUCAAUACGGUCCUAUAAUCUCGGGUAGCACUUACGUAAGUAUUAGAGCAAGUGAAAAAGAAAAAAAUCAUGUUAAAUACUAGGCUCUAGGAUCUUUGUACGGAAUAAUUUUCUUGAGAGAUGCAGAAGAGUUUCAACAUGGAUUCCAGUUCUGGAAUGAACAUGAAGGAAGCAAAGAAACCCAGAACCGAAUCAAGCAACACAUUAAUUCGCUCACAGUUUGCGUAAUUUUAAACACUGCGCUUGCAUUUGUGACUGGUACUAGUCUAAUUCUGCCGAACAAGGACGAAAUUCACUAUCACUAUUUUAUAAAAAUUUUGAUGGAUCUGGAGAGAGUUCCUCGAAGACUAAGUCAAGCUUUAUAUUACUUGUACAAACUGAAUUUUGUCAUGAUGUUUCCAGUCAUGACUAUAAAUUCGUAUCGGGUGCUUUAUUUUAGCAAAAAAUUUAAGUUUCAAGUUAUGUUACUAUUGGAGCGUAUUGAAACACUGACAAAAAAUUACAAUGUGGAUGACAUCAAUUUAUUUUACAAUGCCCGAUAUCAAGACUACAUCAAACAAAAACUCAUAUUUUUCAUUCGGCGACAUUCAUAUAUUGCUCAGUAUGUUGCAAAAAUAAAUAAUUCCAUUGGGCCCUUUGUUGUAUUGUAUGCCAUCUCGGCAACGCUUUUAGGAGUCUCCGUAUUGCUCAUCGUUGCAACUGUAAUUUUUUACACAAAUGUUGCAGCCUAUGACGUAAUUUUUCAGGGCACAAUUUACUACAAUACAUAUCAAAUCAUUCUAUAUGGAGCGAUUUAUCUGAGCACCAUUUUUUGUGCUGUUGAUGGCACUGAAACCGUUGAAAUGGAGGUGAAGUAAAUAUUAGUUAAAUUAAAUUAAAGCGAAUUUUCAGUCGGUUGAAAUUUACAACAAACUGCUGGGUCAACCAUGGUACACUUGGAAUAAUGAGAAUAAAAGGAUAUUUGUUAUUUUUUUGAUGAAUUGCAAAAAACCCUUACAAAUUACAAAAUUCAGCGACACAUUUUACGUUAACUACGAUUGGGGAAUUGCAGUUUUAAAAAAAGUGUAUUCGUUGGGAUCAGUGUUUUUCAACUUGCGCCGAUAUAUCAUCGACAAAUAAUCGUCUUUAAUUAAAUGUACUUCAAAGACGGUAGUUUAGACAUUAUUUUUUAAAAUAAAAACUCAUUUAAAGAUCCGUUUUGUAAUGAAUUUGGCCGAAUGAUAAUUACAGUAAAUCGAUAACGAUGAAAGAAAAUAAUAAUGUAUUUUCUGGUGAAAAAAAUUAAAUCAUUUAAUUGAUAUUUAAGUUAGUGGUAUUACUGUUUGUGUAUUAUAAUAUAACAGUCGUUUAAAGUGCACGUCUGACACCAUGAAUAUUAAAUUUCUUGAUAAAAGUGGCGGUACAUUAUUUUAUGAAAUACUUAUAACCUAUAACAACAAUUGAAUACAGGUUUUUCCAUGGCAGUGGUCUACUUUGUAGCUGAAGGAGUGUUUCAUAUAAAAUUUAUAAGACUUUGCACGUAUUCAGCACUAAUUUCAAAUUCACUAGCAUUCUUAUUCAUGCUGUAUCAAUUUAUUGUGGGAGCAGAAUCGUUGUACAUAAUUAAAUACGGCCCUGUACUUACAGGCUGUACAUACGUUCUUGUAUCCCUGUGGGGAAUACUUUUCUUGAGAAAAACAGAAGAGUUUAAACAAGAGUUCCAUUUCUGGAGUGAACAUAAUGCAAGCAAAGAAAUCCAGAAUCGAAUCAAGCAACACAUUAAUUCCGUUACCGUUUACGUAAUUUUAAAUAUUGUGCUUGCUUUUACAGCUGGUACAAGUCUAAUUCUGCCAAACAAAGAUGAAAUUCACUAUCACUAUUUUCUAAAAAAGUUGUCGGAACUUGAUACAACACCUCGAGGAAUAAAUGAAACGUGUUAUUACUUCUAUAAAAUUAAUUUUGUCUUGAUGUUUCCAAUAAUGACCGUCAAUUCUAACCGGUUGCUUUAUUUUAGCAGAAAAUUUAACUUCCAAGUAAAAUUACUAGUGGAACGUAUUAAAACAAUGGUAAAAGAUUACAAUGUGAAUGAUCCCAAUUUAUUUUAUGAUGCCCGAUACCAAAACGACAUGAAACAAAAGCUGAAAAUUUUUAUUCGUCGACAGGCAUAUAUCGCACAGUAUGUCGCAAAAAUGAAUAAGUUUCUUGCACCAUUUAUCAUCAUGUUCGCCAUAUCGGCAACGCUUUUAGGAAUCUCCGUAUUACUCCUUCUUGUAACUGCCACAAUUUACUACAACAAAUAUCAACUCAUUCUAUGUGGUGCGAUUUAUAUUAGCACACUUUUUUGUGCUAUUGAAGCGACUGAAACUGUAGAAAUGGAGUCCGUUGAAAUUUACAAUGCACUGUUGGCUCAACCAUGGUACAGUUGGAAUAAAGCGAACAGAAAAAGCUUUAUCAUUUUUUUGAUGAAUUGUGAAAAACCGAUACAAAUUACGAAAUUUAGCGACAUAUUUUACUUUAACUACGAUUGGGGGAUUUCUGUUUUUAAAAAAGUGUAUUCGUUGGGAUCAGUGUUUUUCAACUUGCGUCAAUACAUCGACAAAUAAUCACCAUUAGUUUCGUUAUGAGUUUUCCGAAUAAUAAUUACGGUAACGAUGAAAUAAUGGAUUUUAGCAAAAAAUUUAACAUUUCAUUAUGCAAAAAAUAACACCCUCAUAACAAAUUCUUCUAACAAAUUGCAAACAUAAUAUGUACAAACAACAAAGUUUAGCAACACAUUCUACUUCAAUUCAACAUUAAAAAAAGUGUAUUCAUUGGAUUCAGUGUUCUUAAACAGGCUACUAUACAGGAUGUAAGAAAAAUAUGGAGAUAAAAAGGAACCAGAGAUUCUCCAAGUCAAAAUAAAAUGAUUUAACCCACCUUACCUCUAUACCAAAUUGCACGGUUUAAAAGUUAGAGGGCGCCAAAGUUCCAAAAUUAUUUUUGUUUUUUAUUAGUGACUUCUAAACAAAAUAUUAGAUUUUGAUAAAAUUUGGUACAAGUAAUUUGUCAUCAAAACCAGAUGUUUUGGGCUAUUUCUUUUGAUUUUAUGUCAUUGUAAAGUACUUACCUAUCAACUGUUAAACACAUUUUAAAACAUAUUUUUGUUAUACGUUAUCAUCUGAAUGGUGUAAUUCUUUUUUACGGUUUUCACGGUUUAAAAGUUAGAGGGCGCCAAAGUUCAAAAAUUAUUUUUGUUUUUUAUUAGUGACUUCUAAACAAAAUAUUAGAUUUUGAUAAAAUUUGGUACAAGUAAUUUGUCAUCAAAACCAGAUGUUUUGGGCUAUUUCUUUUGAUUUUAUGUCAUUGUAAAGUACUUACCUAUCAACUGUUAAACACAUUUUAAAACAUAUUUUUGUUAUACGUUAUCAUCUGAAUGGUGUAAUUCUUUUUUUAUUCGAAAGCCUUUUAUUUCUGAACACAUUGUGUAUGUUAUAAAAUUUUUGUAUCGGUUUUGGUUUUGGAAUAAAAAAAUAAUUUAUGUAAAAGCGUCAACAUUUCGGACGAUCGUCUAUUAUUAUUAUUGGUUUUAAAAAUGCAUUUAAUUAUUUAUUAUUACUUUACUUAUUAUAAUUGUAAGUGAUAAUGUUUCCGACAGUGUAGAUUUUAAUUAAAUGUGUUGGGUAGAAAUCGAACGAUUUUUAGAAGUUUACAGUUUUGUGAAAAAAUGCCUUUUUGUUUUAAAGUAAUAACUAAUUACAUUAUUGUUAUCUAGUAUACACGUACAUACAGGAACUAAAGUCAAAAUAAAAAAAAAUUAAAAACCCAAUAAUAAUAAUAAUAAUAAAUGGGCGAAGGUCUAAAAUUUUGACACAUCGACUUAAAUUGUUUUUUUUACUCCAAAACCAAGACCAAUACAAAAAUUUUACAAAAUGUUACAAAGAUUGUUAAAAAAGAACGGGUAACAAUUACGCUACUCAGCUAACCUAUGUCAUAAAAUGUGUUAAAUUGUUGAUUGGUGAGAACUUUACAAACAAGAAAAAACAAAAGCAACAGUAAAAAACAUUCGGCUUUGAGUGUAAAUUACUUUUACCAAAUUUCAUUGAAAUCGAUUAUUCAAUGAAAAAGUUAUUAAAGAAAAUCAAAAAUAUUUUUUGAAAUUUUGCGCCCUCUAACUUUUAAACGGUGCAACUUGGUAUAGAGGUAAGUUGAGCUAAAUCGCUCUAUUGUGAGCUGAGGUAUUUCUGGUUCCCUGUUGUCCCCAUCUUUUCGUUACACCCUGUAUAUCGAUAAAUAAUCACUCCAAAAGAAAACAAAACAUUAGUUUAAAAAUGAUAGCUUAGAUUUUAUUGUUUAGAAUAGCCAACACAACAAAAGCAAUAGAUUGUAAUGAUUUUGUUAGAAACAUUAAGGUAACGAUGAAAGAAAAUAAUGUAUUUCACAAUGAUAAUAAAAAUCACCAUUCAUAAGGAUGACAACUGAGACAUUAUAGAAUAAAAACUCACUUAUUCGUAAUGAAUUUUACCGAAUGAUAAUUACGGUAACGAAGACAGAAAUUAAUAAUGUGUUUUUUAGUGCAAAAUAAAUGUAAUAUUAAUUAAGUUACACAGUUGUAUUAUUGUCAUUUUGUCAGAACCGUUCAAAUUCAAUGCCUGACUCACCAUGAAUUUCAAUUUUUUUGAUAAAAGUGACGGUACAGUACAUUUAUUUUAGAAAUCACAAAUUUAUAACAAUAAUUAAAUGCAGAUUUUUCCAUGCCCGUCGUCUACUUUGUAGCUGAAGGAAUAUUUCACAUAAAAUUUAUAAGAUUUUUAGCGUAUUUGGCACUGAUUUCAAAUGCACUAGGACUUUUACUUAUGCUAUACCAGUUUGUUCUGGAUGCAGAAUCGUUGUACAUAAUUAAAUACGGCCCUGUACUUUCAGGAGCAAUUUUCGCCCUUGUAUCUCUGCACGCAAUACUUUUCAUGCGAGAUUUAGAAACGUUUCAGCAAGAAUUCAAUUACUGGAGUGAACAUGAUGCAAGCAAAGAAACCCAGAAUCGAAUCAAGCAACACAUUAAUUCCGUUACCAUUUUCGUAAUUUUUAAUUCAGUGCUUGCUUUUGUAGCCGGUGUAAGUCUAGUUCUACCCAGUAAAGAUGAAAUUCACUAUCACUAUUUCAUAAAAAUAUUGCUGGAACUAGAGGUCGUACCUCGAGGAGUGAUUCGAACUGUUUAUUAUUUGUACAAAAUUGACUAUGUUGUGAUGUAUCCAAUACUGACCAUCAAUUCUGUCCGGAUGCUUUAUUUUAGCAGGAAAUUUAAGUUUCAAGUAAAACUCCUAGUGGACCGUAUUGUAGCAAUGACAAAAGAUAACAACGUGGAUGAUCUCAGUCUAUUCUACAGUGCCCGAUAUCAAAACGACAUGGCACGAAAGCUCAAAACUUUUGUUCGUCGACAUUCGUACAUUGCACAGU